CUGAGGUCGACUUUGCCUUUCACCCUUUCGAGGGGUUGAUAAAAUAAGUACCAGUUGAUUACUGAGGGUUGAUGGAAUCAACUUACUCCAAACCCUGAAAUUCCUGGCCUUUCUUGUACCAAAAUUAGAAAGAAUUAUUAU
Octopus sinensis (East Asian common octopus) is the source of this 141-nucleotide long non-coding RNA. RefSeq lists it as uncharacterized. The transcript has 3 exons. NCBI's taxonomy places the organism in Eukaryota, Metazoa, Mollusca, Cephalopoda, Octopoda, Octopodidae. The record is from RefSeq and is a predicted model, not a curated record.